RNAcentral lists this long non-coding RNA (496 nucleotides) under Mytilus galloprovincialis (Mediterranean mussel). Lineage: Eukaryota; Metazoa; Mollusca; Bivalvia; Mytilida; Mytilidae. The record is from RNAcentral.
AAUAGGAUACAUUUCUAUGCUAUUAACUAUUUUACACGUAUGUAUACUUAAAAGUAACAAUUAUCUGCAUCUUCUCAUAGAAAUAUUGAAAGGGGAGAUGUUAACAUUAAAUCCCAAAUUUCCAGUUUAUGAAAUGUUAUAGAUCAUGCGCUUGCUCUCUUUAUAACUUCGAUAAAAACUGAAAGCUUACAGAAACAUUAUUCAGUCACUAUUUGGAGUUAUUCUAGUUUUGAGUUCAUCCUUUUCCAGAAGAUUUGUUGAAAACCUAUUAUGAAUUAGAUUGGACAUAAAAUCACAAUUCCGCUCCUUUUCCCAAUUAUGACAUCGUCAUUUUUUUUUCAUGGCGUUGUCUGUCUCCUUCGAAUUUUGAAUAGGUUUUGUCUUAUUGACAUUGAAAACAUAUCUUUAACUUUUUAUUUUUUUCAAUAAAAUUGAGAAUGGAAAUGGGGAAUGUGUCAAAGAGACAACAACCCGACCAAUUGAAAAACAACAGCAG